UUUUGUCUGUAUGUCUAUCUGCGUUUCUGGUCAGGUCUGAUGGUAUCUGUGAUAUAUACAGUACUCUGUAAAGUCUCUCCUCCUGUCUGUGGUCAGGUCUGAUGGUAUCUAUGAUAUAUACAGUACUCUGUAAAGUCUCUCCUGUCUGUGGUCAGGUCUGAUGGUAUCUAUGAUAUAUACAGUACUCUGUAAAGUCUCUCCUCCUCUCUGUGGUCAGGUCUGAUGGUAUCUAUGAUAUAUACAGUACUCUGUAAAGUCUCUCCUCCUGUCUGUGGUCAGGUCUGAUGGUAUCUAUGAUAUAUACAGUACUCUGUAAAGUCUCUCCUCCUGUCUGUGGUCAGGUCUGAUGGUAUCUAUGAUAUA
This 363-nucleotide long non-coding RNA is filed under the name Salmo salar (Atlantic salmon). RNAcentral describes it as "lncRNA (ENSSSAG00000094796.1)". The record is from RNAcentral. Lineage: Eukaryota; Metazoa; Chordata; Actinopteri; Salmoniformes; Salmonidae.